Molecule: ribosomal RNA, 793 nt
Filed under: Salmonella enterica
Lineage: Bacteria; Pseudomonadati; Pseudomonadota; Gammaproteobacteria; Enterobacterales; Enterobacteriaceae
Description: partial 23S ribosomal RNA
Rfam family: Bacterial large subunit ribosomal RNA
Source: RNAcentral
AAACCAUGCACCGAAGCUGCGGCAGCGAACGUAUCACCCAAGACAACUUUACGGAGUUGACGAUUGACGGAGCGAAGCGACGUCAAAGCGUUCAUUAAAGUCGAGUUGGCUUAGGGAUACGUUCGUUGGGUAGGGGAGCGUUCUGUAAGCCUGUGAAGGUGUGUCGUGAGGCAUGCUGGAGGUAUCAGAAGUGCGAAUGCUGACAUAAGUAACGAUAAAGCGGGUGAAAAGCCCGCUCGCCGGAAGACCAAGGGUUCCUGUCCAACGUUAAUCGGGGCAGGGUGAGUCGACCCCUAAGGCGAGGCCGAAAGGCGUAGUCGAUGGGAAACGGGUUAAUAUUCCCGUACUUGGUGUUACUGCGAAGGGGGGACGGAGAAGGCUAUGUUGGCCGGGCGACGGUUGUCCCGGUUUAAGCGUGUAGGUGUGUGUUCCAGGUAAAUCCGGUUCACUUUAACACUGAGGCGUGACGACGAGGCACUACGGUGCUGAAGCAACAAAUGCCCUGCUUCCAGGAAAAGCCUCUAAGCAUCAGGUAACACGAAAUCGUACCCCAAACCGACACAGGUGGUCAGGUAGAGAAUACCAAGGCGCUUGAGAGAACUCGGGUGAAGGAACUAGGCAAAAUGGUGCCGUAACUUCGGGAGAAGGCACGCUGACACGUAGGUGAAGUGAUUUACUCAUGGAGCUGAAGUCAGUCGAAGAUACCAGCUGGCUGCAACUGUUUAUUAAAAACACAGCACUGUGCAAACACGAAAGUGGACGUAUACGGUGUGACGCCUGCCCGGUGCCGGAA